This 152-nucleotide long non-coding RNA is filed under the name Pan troglodytes (chimpanzee). RNAcentral describes it as "lncRNA (ENSPTRG00000053394.1)". The record is from RNAcentral. Lineage: Eukaryota; Metazoa; Chordata; Mammalia; Primates; Hominidae.
UUUUCUCACAUGUCCUUAAAAAGACAGAUAGAGCUACAGAUGAUUAUCAGUCUGAGCCUGGGAUCUUGCUCCUCCUGCCUAAACUGCCUCAUGGAACAGAAUGUCAGCGAACAGAAAGCCCUGGGGCUUCUAGACUUGAGCUGGAAAUUAGA